Molecule: ribosomal RNA, 468 nt
Filed under: uncultured bacterium
Lineage: Bacteria
Description: partial 16S ribosomal RNA
Rfam family: Bacterial small subunit ribosomal RNA
Source: RNAcentral
GACGAACGCUGGCGGCGUGCUUAACACAUGCAAGUCGAACGGAAAGGCCCUGCUUUUGUGGGGUGCUCGAGUGGCGAACGGGUGAGUAACACGUGAGUAACCUGCCCUUGACUUUGGGAUAACUUCAGGAAACUGGGGCUAAUACCGGAUAGGAGCUCCUGCUGCAUGGUGGGGGUUGGAAAGUUUCGGCGGUUGGGGAUGGACUCGCGGCUUAUCAGCUUGUUGGUGGGGUAGUGGCUUACCAAGGCUUUGACGGGUAGCCGGCCUGAGAGGGUGGCCGGCCACAUUGGGACUGAGAUACGGCCCAGACUCCUACGAGAGGCAGCAGUGGGGAAUAUUGCACAAUGGGCGGAAGCCUGAUGCAGCAACGCCGCGUGCGGGAUGACGGCCUUCGGGUUGUAAACCGCUUUCGCCUGUGACGAAGCGUGAGUGACGGUAAUGGGUAAAGAAGCACCGGCUAACUACGUG